AACACGUGGGCAAUCUGCCCUUCACUCUGGGACAAGCCCUGGAAACGGGGUCUAAUACCGGAUAAUACCUGCCUGGGCAUCUGGGUGGGUUGAAAGCUCCGGCGGUGAAGGAUGAGCCCGCGGCCUAUCAGCUUGUUGGUGAGGUAGUGGCUCACCAAGGCGACGACGGGUAGCCGGCCUGAGAGGGCGACCGGCCACACUGGGACUGAGACACGGCCCAGACUCCUACGGGAGGCAGCAGUGGGGAAUAUUGCACAAUGGGCGAAAGCCUGAUGCAGCGACGCCGCGUGAGGGAUGACGGCCUUCGGGUUGUAAACCUCUUUCAGCAGGGAAGAAGCGAAAGUGACGGUACCUGCAGAAGAAGCGCCGGCUAACUACGUGCCAGCAGCCGCGGUAAUACGUAGGGCGCAAGCGUUGUCCGGAAUUAUUGGGCGUAAAGAGCUCGUAGGCGGCUUGUCACGUCGGGUGUGAAAGCCCGGGGCUUAACCCCGGGUCUGCAUUCGAUACGGGCUAGCUAGAGUGUGGUAGGGGAGAUCGGAAUUCCUGGUGUAGCGGUGAAAUGCGCAGAUAUCAGGAGGAACACCGGUGGCGAAGGCGGAUCUCUGGGCCAUUACUGACGCUGAGGAGCGAAAGCGUGGGGAGCGAACAGGAUUAGAUACCCUGGAGUCCACGCCGUAACGGUGGAACUAGGU
RNAcentral lists this ribosomal RNA (692 nucleotides) under Streptomyces sp. A23MTY. RNAcentral describes it as "bacterial SSU rRNA". It matches the Rfam family "Bacterial small subunit ribosomal RNA", at positions 112 to 821 of the family's 1533-position model. The record is from RNAcentral. Lineage: Bacteria; Bacillati; Actinomycetota; Actinomycetes; Kitasatosporales; Streptomycetaceae.